CGUGUAGGCGGGAAAGCAAGUCAGAUGUGAAAUACCGAGGCUUAACUUCGGAGCUGCAUCUGAAACUGCGUUUCUUGAGUGUCGGAGAGGAAAGUGGAAUUCCCAGUGUAGCGGUGAAAUGCGUAGAUAUUGGGAGGAACACCAGUGGCGAAGGCGACUUUCUGGACGAUAACUGACGCUGAGGCGCGAAAGCGUGGGGAGCAAACAGGAUUAGAUACCCUGGUAGUCCACGCCGUAAACGAUGGAUACUAGGUGUGGGAGGUAUCGACCCCUUCCGUGCCACAGUUAACACAAUAAGUAUCCCACCUGGGGAGUACGGCCGCAAGGUUGAA
This 332-nucleotide ribosomal RNA is filed under the name uncultured bacterium. RNAcentral's name for it is "bacterial SSU rRNA". It matches the Rfam family "Bacterial small subunit ribosomal RNA", at positions 568 to 898 of the family's 1533-position model. The record is from RNAcentral.